UGGCUUAGUUGGUAGAGCAUGGUGUUUGCAACGCCAGGGUUGUGGGUUUGAUUCCCAC
This is a non-coding RNA of Salmo salar (Atlantic salmon), 58 nucleotides long. The record is from Rfam. NCBI's taxonomy places the organism in Eukaryota, Metazoa, Chordata, Actinopteri, Salmoniformes, Salmonidae.